AUUGAACGCUGGCGGCAGGCCUAACACAUGCAAGUCGAACGAGUGGCGGACGGGUGAGUAAUGCCUGGGAAACUGCCUGAUGGAGGGGGAUACCUACUGGGAACGGUAGCUAAUACCGCAUACAAUCGGAUGAGACCCGAUGGGAUUAGCUUGUGGGUGGGGUAACGGCUCACCAAGACGACGAUCCCUAGCUGGUCUGAGAGGAUGACCAGCCACACUGGAACUGAGACACGGCCCAGACUCCUACGGGAGGCAGCAGUGGGGAAUAUUGCACAAUGGGCGCAACCCUGAUGCAGCCAUGCCGCGUGUAUGAAGAAGGCCUUCGGGUUGUAAAGUACUUUCAGCGGGGAGGCGUUACCCGCAGAAGAAGCACCGGCUAACUCCGUGCCAGCAGCCGCGGUAAUAC
RNAcentral lists this ribosomal RNA (406 nucleotides) under uncultured bacterium. RNAcentral's name for it is "partial 16S ribosomal RNA". It matches the Rfam family "Bacterial small subunit ribosomal RNA", at positions 30 to 526 of the family's 1533-position model. The record is from RNAcentral.